UACGUAGGGGCAAGCGUUGUCCGGAUUAUUGGGCGUAAAGAGCGUGUAGGCGGCUAGGUAGGUCCGCUGUUAAAAACUCGAGGCUUAACCUCGAGAGGUCGGUGGAAACCAUCUGGCUAGAGUCCGGAAGAGGAGAGUGGAAUUCCUGGUGUAGCGGUGAAAUGCGUAGAUAUCGGGAGGAACACCAGUGGCGAAGGCGAUCUUCUGGACGGAUACUGACGCUGAGGCGCGAAAGCUAGGGGAGCAAACGGG
RNAcentral lists this ribosomal RNA (252 nucleotides) under uncultured bacterium. RNAcentral's name for it is "partial 16S ribosomal RNA". It matches the Rfam family "Bacterial small subunit ribosomal RNA", at positions 524 to 776 of the family's 1533-position model. The record is from RNAcentral.